UUACCUUAAAUAAAAUUUUUGUUUAAAUAAUCAAUUUAAUAUUAAAACACUUGUUUAAAAUCAUAUUCACAUUCAAAUUACAAACAUAGUUUCAUUUUCAUUAUAAUAGAAGACCAGGAUCCUCCAAAACACAACUCUUUCUUCGGUGUGUACAAUCGAACCGUUGCCAUCCCGUGUUACUGUAAAACCUGAAACGACAUAACAUAAACAACGUAAGCACGAAGCUUAGUGAGUUCCCCAAAAUACCUUGCGCACAUACGCCCUCCGGCCCGGACCUUUCGGUCCACAUAACAUUGCCUUCCGGCCCGAACCUUCUGGUUCACAUAGCAUUGCCUUCCGGCCCGAACCUUUCGGUUCACAUAACUUUGCCUUCCGGCCCGGAUCAUUCGAUCCACAAGAUAAUUGCCUUCCGGCCCGGAUCUUUCGAUCCACAAGAUAAUUGCCUUCCGGCCCAUACACACAUAUAACACAUAAUACCAAUACUUUAACACAUAAAGCACAUAUAUCAUAUAUCAUACCUGACCUUCCUGUCACAUAAUACCUUGCCUUCCGGCCCAUAUACAAACAUGAAUAUCACACGUAGCAACUAACUUUCCAUUUAUAGCAUAUAAGCAUAACACAUAACAUACUUGACCUUCCGGUCACACAAUCAAACCCUUCCGGGUGAAGUAUAGUGAGAAGACUCACCUCGCGGUCACUGGAAGAUAACAACUCCCGAAAUCCCUUGCACUUGAUCCUCCGAGCUCCAAGCUCCCUGUCUCAUCAUAUAUCCCUUUUUAGUACUUCUAUCUUCCACGUUAACUGACCCUAAGAAAUCACACCAGUCAACUCUGGUCAACAGUCCAUUGUCUGCUCGACUGGACUCGGCGAGUUCCCUGGCGACUCGGCGAGUCUGGUCGUCCUUCAGUCCUCUAAGAUUCCCCUACUACUCGUCGAGUAUCCUCUUUGACUCGACGAGUCACCCCUGGAAGAAAUCGCGGGGCCACCCCGACUCCACUCGCCGCGUCUGAAGAACAACUCGGCGAGUCCCAGUAAAUCUUCAAGCUACUCGCCGAGUCUGAUCAUCCGACUCGGCGAGUCCAUGCCAUGCAGUCGAUCCAACUGCUUCCUGAGAUACGUUUUUCCCGAGAUACACACUCAUGGGACUUCUGGACCUCUAGUCAUCCUAUUACUAGGGUAUAAACUCAUGUAUAACAACAUAAUAAUCCAUCAAAUCACCAAUUGGGUUUCAUAAACCCUAAUCCCAUAACACAUCAACAUAGCAGAGGAUAAUUCGAGUUCUUACCUGAAUAAUGUGUCCUCUGUGUCCCCAACCCUCAGAAUAUGACUCCCUUGCUGCUCCUUUAGCCAAAACUCCUCUUCUUCUUGCCUAACAACUUCUUCAAGGCCAAUAAUGGCAUUCAAGCUUGCUCUAGAUGCCACAGUCGUUUAGGGUUCUCCACAAUCGGCCAAAAGACGCGAAAUGACGACAAUACAACCCUUAUAUACGACCCAAUACGAAACGGCUAGGGUUUCUGCUGAACAGCGUCGACUCGCCGAGUCC
RNAcentral lists this long non-coding RNA (1543 nucleotides) under Lactuca sativa (garden lettuce). RNAcentral describes it as "long non-coding RNA (LSAT_LNC005523)". Lineage: Eukaryota; Viridiplantae; Streptophyta; Magnoliopsida; Asterales; Asteraceae. The record is from RNAcentral.